AACAUGGGAACAAAGGAUUUGAACCACAAUAAGUUCUAGUGAACAGAAAUCCCAGCCAGGCCUGCCCCUUUGACUUUCUGCUUUUAAUAACAAUAUAUCCCUCAGUAAUCAAUAACAUUGCACUGGCAGCCCGAGGAGUGGGACUUGCUCCAGCUCAAGGAUGAGGGAGGGAGCAGACAUCCACACACCCAGGGAGAUGCCUUCUGCUCCAGCUACCGAGCAGCACUUGUUACACAUUAGCCUUAAAACAUGACUUGGAAGUAAUUGGUCAGCACUGCAGAAGAAGGGCUGUGUAGCCCCCUGUUAAUGAUUAGCUUUGUUGUGCAUGAAUUAGUUGACUUCCUGCAAUUACUCCUGCUCUUCCCCACCAGGCAACGACAGCGCUCUGCUUUCCAAAGGCAGCCGGCGGGCAGUUUGCUGACCCCGAAUGUCUGCUAGCUCCAAGAUCUCUGGUACUCCAUCGGACAAGGCAGAGCACUUUGCUAUUCACCCCUGCACCUGGAAAAUCAGGCAGAGUGCUCCUUGCAUUGUACUGCAUUGAAAUGAGGGACACGUGGAACUGGAGCUCUCCUGGUGAUCCUGUUGAUACAGGAGGCAGUACCAAACACAGCAUGCUUUACUGCAGCACCCUGCUUCUGCCAGCUUGACUUUUACCUGUGCUUUUUAUUUCGCUUUAACCAGAGUGCUGUGACUCAGAGGGCAGGCAGGAAAACGUGACAGCGACUAGGCACCAUUUCCACAUUUUGCAUUCAGACUUCUCUGACACUGCAAAACAAUGGAUGUGAGCAAUCUGAAAUAAAUGUUUAGAUGCAGUAAGGUCCAUGGGUGCCAGCUCUGUUGUGGUCAGCAGUGCCAAUUCUCACCUCAGAGCUCCCAGGCAAAGGACAGAAAGUACACAAGAAGCACUAAUGGGUUUGCUACUGCCACAGAAAAUCACAGAAAAGCAGUCAGGAGAAUGUUCCCAAAGAGCCUGGAAAAAGGAUGCCGAGCUAAGGAAAGAUGCCUGCAGGAACGCUGGGAAUCUGCUGAAGGGAGGCUACCAGGGGGUGACGUGUCCAUGGAAGAAAACCAGGAGGAUGAAUAACCGUGCAGGAGGAGUUUUGGCAGACAGCUGUGCUCCUCUCUGGGGUGGAGAUCUGGCGUACAUGGGGUUCCAGAUCCUCUUGAUUAUCUGCUUCGUCAGAGUCAGCAGGUCCUUGGUAAUACAGCCUCCUGUCUCCAGCUCCCACCACUUCUGGAGUAAGGUGAAGGCAUCCGAUACCCCUCAUGCUGGAGAAUACAGUCAUCACAGAUGCACCAGGCAAGGGAUGCUGGAAACAGAGCAGUGCUGCUUCUGAUGGCAUUUGCACUCCUCAACAGCUGUCUGCCAGAGCAGGAACCUCCAAAGAGCAUAAAUUUGCUGUGAAGUUGGUAGUGUUGAUAUGUCUUGCUUGAUCCUCCUCAUUGCUGUUUUGUGUCCUUUUCUGCAAUGCCUGUACUCAAGUGAGCCAGGAUAAAGCCCAUUUGAUACAAAUCCUGCCUCCUCCAGGCUCUGCAGGCUACCUCCAGAAAGCCCACUGCAGGCUCCUGCUUACCUCCGGCAUCCCAGGAACCUGGAAGAGGCUGAUCCAGAUCCACCAGUUGUCCGUAAUUUACCAGCCUUGACUAGCUGAUAUCUGUGAAUGCAUGGAUGUCUUCACAAACUAAUGAAUACAAUUAAAUGAGAUGGUAAAGCUGGGCGUUUGGUAGCUCUGUCUGACAGGCUGACAGGAGAAAGGCUCAGAAAAACAUUUGUAAAGGAAAUAGGGAUGCACAUUCACUUCUUUAGGAUAUAUUUACAAGUGGUACCUCACAGAACCCCAAACCUUGUACAGACACAAAGUACACCACAGCAUGAACUGCAAAGAAAAUGCAAUUUCAGCUUUCUACAGCAGUAUAGCUGUAUAUAUUGCUGAGCCCAAAAUAAUACACUCUUGUCUCUCAGCUCUGGCACAAUGUUGAGACUCCAGUACUUGGUAGUAUCAUAUUUGGUGACCUACCAAGUCCAAGCACUAAACCAUGUCCCUCGGUGUCAUAUCCACAUGUGUCUUAAAUACCUCCAGGGGUGGGGACUCCACCACUUCCAAUGCUUGACCACCCUCUCCAUAAUGAAAUUCUU
Molecule: long non-coding RNA, 2137 nt
Organism: Anas platyrhynchos (mallard)
Lineage: Eukaryota; Metazoa; Chordata; Aves; Anseriformes; Anatidae
Source: RefSeq, a predicted model, not a curated record